This 362-nucleotide ribosomal RNA is filed under the name Stachiella octomaculatus. RNAcentral describes it as "partial 12S ribosomal RNA". The record is from RNAcentral. Lineage: Eukaryota; Metazoa; Arthropoda; Insecta; Psocodea; Trichodectidae.
CCCUAUUAUUCUUUGAUUAUUUUAGGAUUACCUUUGAACGGGAAAGUAAAAUGGCAUGGCGGCCAAGUUAAUCUCUUAGAGACGUAUGUUUCGUAAAGGAAAAUGCACCCACAUCUCGCUUCCCCUAUAAAAUCUUAGACAUCGCCGUCUGAAAGACCUCUUAAGAAUGGGAGGCUCGAGUUGAAAGGUAUUUCAUACCAAAUACGUCAGGUAAAGGUCUAGAACUGGAGAAGUAGAAAUGUAUGUCAAUGAUCGACCUAGAAAUAUUCGAUGUAAUUCGAGUGUUGAUGAGAAUUUAAAAGUAAUCUUUAAAUUUUACUAGGGAUUAGGUGAAUUGUCAAUGCUUGGUGUACACAUCGCCC